This 690-nucleotide long non-coding RNA is filed under the name Trifolium pratense (red clover). Its description in RNAcentral is "long non-coding RNA (TPRA_LNC002478)". Lineage: Eukaryota; Viridiplantae; Streptophyta; Magnoliopsida; Fabales; Fabaceae. The record is from RNAcentral.
ACCAGCUUGGUUUCAAAAAAUUAAGUGAAUUUUUCUAAUUUAUCAUAUAAGGGUAUUAUAUUUUGAAUAAUAUCUAUUUAUAAAAUCUUGGUAGGAUCUUGAUUUUAACUACCUUGACUAUCACAAUAAAGCUUUAUAGGCUUGUUCCAUCUUCAUAUCUUCUAAAAUAUGUUUUAGCCAGAGUAGUUCACAAAUAACUUGUGACAUGGCCCAAUACCAGCUUUAGCACUAGAAGGAGCCACCACAUUUUUUCCUUUUACUUUUCCAAGUUACUCAAUUUCCUCUAGGAAAGGUACAAUACCCAAUUAAAGACCUCCUGUUGGUAACUAACCCUGCAUAGUCACAUUGGCAGUAUAAGACUCAAUAAUUGCAUUCCAGUAUAUUUUUAUAUGAAAUUAUUUUUCCUAAUUUUUUCCCUUAGGUAUUGUAGAAUUCUAUAAGCCGCUUGAAAUGAACUAAUCUUGGACUGUGUUCAUGAUUAACCAAACUUAAAGUGAAUGCAAUUUCAGGAGUAAUUUAGUUAUCGCUGUUUCUUCCUAUGCGUUGAACCUAUUCUACUUGAUCUUCAAAGAAUUUAGGCCACCUGGAAAGUGGAAAAUCAAUAUGAUUUUAUUUCCAACUGUUACUAAAAUUUAUGGUGUUUGAUAAAUUUAUGAUAUAUUUAUUCCAUUGUUUUUAUCUUAUCCAUGC